AAAGAAAGAAAGUCCUUGGAAAGGUGUGUGUCCCAGGUGAUCUCAUUCGUCAGAACCUGGUUCGUUUUCAUUGAGGUUGUGAGAAAACUACGUAUACGUGGACCAACAAAUUAUAGAACAUUAAUUAUGGUCCCUACUACCUAUCCUUUCAGUUAGUCAGUCGUUUUGUGUUUGUGUUUAUGCAAUUUCAAUGUAAUUUUUCUUAUAUGCACUAUCUUGAGCAACUAGCUAGGCAUAUGCCAAUAAAAUUUGUAUUUGUAAAUAUCAGCUCAAACUCAUAUGGAGAUUGAUGGAAAAAAAUUAUUUUCACUGGAUGAGUGUGAAUUUGAGUUUUCUACGUUUUUGAAAGAUCAGGAUGAGAUGGAUAAUAAUUUACAAUAGUAGGUAUCCCAGUUCAUCCCUAAAUCUUAAUUAUUUGAACUUUAUUUUAGUUAUUAUAUUCUAUUAUUUUAAUUUUUUUUUGAAUUAGUUUAACUCUUUUUUUAUUGUAAUUUUUUAAUUUGGUCAAAUUAUUUUUAAAUAAAGUUUGAAAUCAAGUGUAGAACUAUGUUAUUAUAUUGAUAUUGUUGUAUUAACUUUGUAAUAAAUUUUUGAAAUAUUUAUUUUAUUAAGUUGUCAACCUAUGAUUAUUGUCAUAUAUCUAUAAAAUUUAAUUUCAUAUUA
Molecule: long non-coding RNA, 663 nt
Filed under: Lathyrus oleraceus (garden pea)
Lineage: Eukaryota; Viridiplantae; Streptophyta; Magnoliopsida; Fabales; Fabaceae
Description: Pisum sativum (pea) long non-coding RNA (PSAT_LNC000821)
Source: RNAcentral